UCCAUCUCUACCAUGACCACAACCUGCUAUUAACUAGGCUGUUCCUCGCUCUUGUCAUCCAUCUCUUCUUCAGAGCUUCUAGCACACCAGUAGUCUGGGCCCGGGAGCAGUAGAGCAAGCGCGCGGUUCUGGGGCAGACUCGAUCGAGAGCGAGAUGGAUGGAGAGAAAUAUGAUGUUGCUGCCGCUGGAGCGGAAUGGAGAAGGGAGGAAGUUGAAGUUGUCGGUUUUCUUCGCACACCCAAAUCGUCUUGAAUCUUGAUAGCUUCCUUUUGUCUACUUGGCUUGAGGAGGAGGACAUCGCGUCGAGCAGAGGAAUUCAAGAGUUUACAAGCAUCGAUGCGUCAUGGCUCGAGUGUUAUCUGCCGUAAUCUGUUUCUGUUUUUGAGAUUGUCUUCAAGUUGGAAGUUGAGUAGGUAAUACUAGUAAUAGCAGAAGUGGCCUUUCGCGAUGGCCGUGGUGAACUAUCUUUUGCCUAGCGUUGUAACAUCUCCGUGGAUCGAGUCAUCGAGGGUGACCAUCUGGUCUAAUGCUGCUACUAUUAGAACUUGGAGAAAAAAAAAAUGUCUUUUGGUUUGGAUCCUGGAAACAACUUGGCCUUGUCUCUUUUGGUGAACAA
Molecule: long non-coding RNA, 617 nt
Organism: Setaria italica (foxtail millet)
Lineage: Eukaryota; Viridiplantae; Streptophyta; Magnoliopsida; Poales; Poaceae
Exons: 2
Source: RefSeq, a predicted model, not a curated record